This 261-nucleotide ribosomal RNA is filed under the name uncultured archaeon. Its description in RNAcentral is "partial 16S ribosomal RNA". It matches the Rfam family "Archaeal small subunit ribosomal RNA", at positions 748 to 1008 of the family's 1478-position model. The record is from RNAcentral.
CAGCCGUAAACUAUGCGCGUUAGGUGUACUGGUGACCACGAGUCACCGGGGUGCCGAAGGGAAACCGUGAAACGUGCCGCCUGGGAAGUACGGUCGCAAGGCUGAAACUUAAAGGAAUUGGCGGGGGAGCACCACAACAGGUGGAGCCUGCGGUUUAAUUGGAUUCAACGCCGGACAUCUCACCGGAUAAGACAGCUGAAUGAUUGUCAAUCUGAAGGUUUUACAUGACUAGCUGAGAGGUGGUGCAUGGCGUCAGUGACU